Molecule: long non-coding RNA, 1018 nt
Filed under: Anser brachyrhynchus (Pink-footed goose)
Lineage: Eukaryota; Metazoa; Chordata; Aves; Anseriformes; Anatidae
Description: lncRNA (ENSABRG00000020423.1)
Source: RNAcentral
CAGACCUAAAUUUGCUGUCCUGUUUUCCAUCAUUUUACUUUACAAACAUUUUUCUAGUUUUCUAGAAACCCUUUUAGAUGUCAUAUUAUCAAUUUUUGUCUUCCAAACUGAAAUUCACUGAACAUCUUCCUGGGUCCCUACACCUGCUUUAUUGCCCAUAUGCCAUAUGCCGGCUUUGGUCUACUUAACAUCUCAGUCUUCUAGCACAGAGCUUAAACAAGAGAAAAGCUGUUACUGUGUGUGUCUGACACAGUAGAGAUUUAUGAUUGUUGUAUGAAUUCAUAUAACCCUUAGGAAAUCCCGUCAAUUAUUUUAUUUCAUAUCUCUCAUGAAGAAAAGUCCCAUCCCACUCUCCUUCAUCAUUCUCUCCACGAACACCCUCUUCUAUUUAACUUUGUAACAGUAAUUUAUCUGCCUUGCUUCACCACCUUGUCCAUCACUUUUCUCUUCCUGAUCUGCAAACCGUGUCUCCCACUCCAGUGCCUUAACUCUUGGUACCUUGCCAAGCGUCGGACUGCUGAAGUGGUGACAUGAGCUUUUCUGAGUGGCUAUGAUGUUUAUCCAGGAGUUCUAGAAUCUGUCCCAAGAUGUUGUACUUCAGUUAGGGCUGGCUACCUGACAUCUCAUGUUAUGUUGCAAUGCAUCAUGUAGAAAAUUGGAAAGAGGUCUUGGACCUCUUGGGUGGUGAGGGUGUGACUGAGCGACAGUGCUGUGGCAGCAGUAACAUCAUUAUUGCCAAAACAGGCAGAAAGGAGUGGGUGGCUGAUAUGAGUGGCACUGAGCCCUGUCAUUGGGACUAUUGGAGGCCACUGCACUGUUCACCACCAUAUCAUACAAUGUUCAUGGCAAAUCUAAAUGAGGAAGUGCUUCAAAUACCAGUGAUUUCUCUGUGUGAAGACUUCCAGUAUUGUAACAACCCUACAAUGGUAGGGACCAUUAGAAAGCUGUUCUUUAUUCAUUGCGGUCACAGAAAUGAUUUUAUUUCCUGAUGGGAUGCAUUGUACUGCAAAAUAGAACG